RNAcentral lists this ribosomal RNA (457 nucleotides) under uncultured Bacteroidales bacterium. RNAcentral's name for it is "bacterial SSU rRNA". It matches the Rfam family "Bacterial small subunit ribosomal RNA", at positions 927 to 1382 of the family's 1533-position model. Lineage: Bacteria; Pseudomonadati; Bacteroidota; Bacteroidia; Bacteroidales. The record is from RNAcentral.
AAGCGGAGGAGCAUUGUGGUUUAAUUCGAUGAUACGCGAGGAACCUUACCUGGGCUUGAACGUAUGGUGCAUUAGGGUGAAAGCCCUAUUUCUAGCAAUAGACUUCAUACGAGGUGCUGCAUGGCUGUCGUCAGCUCGUGCCGUGAGGUGUUAGGUUAAGUCCUGCAACGAGCGCAACCCCUGUUUCCCAGUUGCCAUCAAGUAAAUUGGGGACUCUGGAGAGACUGCCUGCGCAAGCAGAGAGGAAGUGGGGAUGACGUCAAGUCAGCACGGCCCUUACGUCCAGGGCUACACACGUGCUACAAUGGCCGGUACAGAGGGCAGCGACCUGGUGACAGGUAGCGAAUCUCCAAAGCCGGUCUCAGUUCGGAUCGGAGUCUGCAACUCGACUCCGUGAAGCUGGAUUCGCUAGUAAUCGGAUAUCAGCAAUGAUCCGGUGAAUACGUUCCCGGGCCUU